GAAACACAGUGGGAUCUCUUUGCCUAUUGAAGAUGAUCUUGGAGAUCUACCAUCAUUCUAUCAGCAAUCAGCCUCUUCUGCAGGAUGGGGACAGCACGUGUUCAGGAAAUGGAGGUGAUGAUCUGGGAGAGGUUGGUGUCUACCCAGUAGAAGACAUUGUUGUC
This is a long non-coding RNA of Lagopus muta (rock ptarmigan), 164 nucleotides long. RefSeq lists it as uncharacterized. The record is from RefSeq and is a predicted model, not a curated record. Lineage: Eukaryota; Metazoa; Chordata; Aves; Galliformes; Phasianidae. The transcript has 3 exons.